UGUCAAGAGCGUUAGGCGUCAAUUUGGCGGGCAGAUUUCUUUUGCCUUAUGAAAGGUGAAGGAAAAUG
This 68-nucleotide small RNA is filed under the name Ochrobactrum quorumnocens. RNAcentral describes it as "S-element". It matches the Rfam family "S-element". From Rfam's summary of the family: This family represents a group of S-elements from p42d and related plasmids. The S-element has multiple functions and is believed to act as a negative regulator of repC transcription, be required for efficient replication and act as a translational enhancer of repC. The record is from RNAcentral. Lineage: Bacteria; Pseudomonadati; Pseudomonadota; Alphaproteobacteria; Hyphomicrobiales; Brucellaceae.